Molecule: long non-coding RNA, 921 nt
Filed under: Medicago truncatula (barrel medic)
Lineage: Eukaryota; Viridiplantae; Streptophyta; Magnoliopsida; Fabales; Fabaceae
Description: long non-coding RNA (MTRU_LNC005040)
Source: RNAcentral
AACAAACAAGGACAAAGAGAUCACUCGUAAUAAAGACACGUUGGAACUUUCAGUCUCGCCAAAAACCAAUGUCAAGAUAAAACCUUCGUUUCAUCCACCAAAUCUGCCACCUCCUUAACCCCUCAUUUUUUAAAUUAUAAGGUUUCGCACAUUCCAAUAACUUUUCCGCAACUUUUCAUUAGAUGCUUCACUACUCCAACAUUACAAGUGCACAAACAAAUUCAGAGGAGUUAUAAACGAGAAAUCCAAACACCUCCAUUACCAAGUUCAACACCUUCCUUGUCACCUCACAAAACCAGAAUAGGUGACAAGAGGUUUCUCCUUCCAAAUCAAACAAAGGACAAUUCACCGACUCGUUGGUAAAUUGUAUUUUUUUCAGCACAAUGGUAAGUAUGCCAGUUUUUAUCAAACAAAUAUCGUAUAUCCACCAUUCAGUUUCAUGAUCUCAUACAAUGUUAGUGUGGGCUGUGUCUAAUGCUUACUGCAAUCAGCAAGCAUUGCCUUUGAACCUUUAAACACACAUAACCACCCCAAGCUGUCUAUUUCCAUUUGUGACAUCGUUCUUUAAUUCAAUUUUAAACAUCUCUCAAUAAGUCCCAAUGAAUGGAUUUGUUUUCAAUAGAUCCGGAGUCAAUGUAAUUAUGUAAUGAAUAUAACAUAGAUCAGGUCAUUGAAAGAAAGACUUCAGGCCUAAGUCCUCAGGUAUACACUUUACUUUUGUACAUUUGUGUAGUUUGAGAUGUGAGAAAGCUCAAAUAAAACAAAAAUCAGUACUAGAAAAUACUACUAAUAGAUUGGAUUGUAUUGUAUUGCAUUGUAGGUAAACAUAUAGAAGUGCUUCGGCUCCCAGUAGUGUGCAGAACUUCUUAUGGCGUCUUGCGAAGGACAUCUUGCCUACAAGGAGCAAUUUGGGUAAGAAAG